Molecule: ribosomal RNA, 480 nt
Filed under: uncultured bacterium
Lineage: Bacteria
Description: partial 16S ribosomal RNA
Rfam family: Bacterial small subunit ribosomal RNA
Source: RNAcentral
GACGAACGCUGGCGGCGUGCUUAGCACAUGCAAGUCGAGCGAUGAAGCACCUUCGGGUGUGGAUUAGCGGCGAACGGGUGAGGAACACGUGAGGAAUCUGCCUUUCACUUCGGGAUAACUCCGGGAAACCGGGGCUAAUACCGGAUAUUUUCAGCUGACGGCAUCGCCGGUUGAAGAAAGUUUUUCGGUGAAAGAUGACCUCGCGGCCUAUCAGCUUGUUGGGGAGGUAAUGGCUCGGCAAGGCGACGACGGGUAGCCGGCCUGAGAGGGCGAUCGGCCACACUGGGACUGAGACACGGCCCAGACACCUACGGAAGGCAGCAGUGGGGAAUAUUGGGCAAUGGAGGAAACUCUGACCCAGCGACGCCGCGUGAGGGAUGAAGGCCUUCGGGUUGUAAACCUCUUUCAGCAGCGACGAAGCGAAAGUGACGGUAGGUGCAGAAGAAGGACCGGCCAACUACGUGCCAGCCGCCGCGGUAA